UCUAGAACUCGAGAUAUGGGCGGAACACUGAACAGUGUCUGGGCUGCAAGACAGAUUCUGACUUCUCCGUUGUUGCUAAGAUUUGGACUUCCAGACAGCAGAAUUGAGUCUUGGACUCUUCAUGAAUGUUUUAGGCCUAUGUCUUAGCUUUCUAGC
This is a non-coding RNA of Populus trichocarpa (black cottonwood), 156 nucleotides long. NCBI's taxonomy places the organism in Eukaryota, Viridiplantae, Streptophyta, Magnoliopsida, Malpighiales, Salicaceae. The record is from Rfam.